Molecule: ribosomal RNA, 253 nt
Filed under: uncultured bacterium
Lineage: Bacteria
Description: partial 16S ribosomal RNA
Rfam family: Bacterial small subunit ribosomal RNA
Source: RNAcentral
UACGUAGGAGGCAAGCGUUGUCCGGAGUACUGGGCGUAAAGCGCACGCAGGCGGUCGCAUCAGUCUGGGGUGACAGUUCCCGGCCUAACCGGGAAAGUGCUCUGGAAACUGUGCGACUUGAGGGCUUCAGAGGGAUGUGGAAUUCCAGGUGGAGUGGUGAAAUGCGUAGAGAUCUGGAAGAACACCAAAGGCGAAGGCAGCAUCCUGGGAAGUUCCUGACGCUCGGGGUGCGAAAGCCAGGGGAGCGAACGGG